GAUAAGGACAGACAGGGGAGAGAAUGUGGACCUAGUUCCAUUUCUUUUCGAAUGAUUCAUUUUCCUCCUUUCGUAAUUCCAUCCAACAUCCCAACACUUUAUGUUUUUGUUCAGUUUCUCAAUGGUUCACUGGAAAAUAUUCGUUGACGGCCAAAUAGAUUGCAAGAAGAGGAAGGAGAGGAGGAAAAGGGGGGAAAUGAACUUGGUGAGAUAAAGUAUAGAACAAGUAAAAAAGUUGACCCUCUAGUACUUGUGUUUCGCAUAUCUCAGAUUUGUAAAAAUGUGUAAUACAUUUGGAGCUGUAAGAUUACUGGCAUACAAGGAAGGUUCUUAGUCAAGGAAGGUGUAUAGAUUACUGGCAUACAAGGAAGGUACUUAGUCAAGGAAGGUGUAUAGAUUACUGGCAGACAAGGAAGGUUCUUAGUCAAGGAAGGUGUAUAGAUUACUGGCAUACAAGGAAGGUACUUAGUCAAGGAGGGUGUAUAGAUUACUGGCAUACAAGGAAGGUACUUAGUCAAGGAAGGGUGUAUAGAUUACUGGCAUACAAGGAAGGUACUUAGUCAAGGAAGGUGUAUAGAUUACUGGCAUACAAGGAAGGUACUUAGUCAAGGAGGGUGUAUAGAUUACUGGCAUACAAGGAAGGUACUUAGUCAAGGAAGGUGUAUAGAUUACUGGCAUACAAGGAAGGUACUUAGUCAAGGAAGGUGUAUAGAUUACUGGCAUACAAGGAAGGUACUUAGUCAAGGAAGGUGUAUAGAUUACUGGCAGACAAGGAAGGUACUUAGUCAAGGAAGGUGUAUAGAUUACUGGCAGACAAGGAAGGUACUUAGUCAAGGAAGGUGUAUAGAUUACUGGCAGACAAGGAAGGUACUUAGUCAAGGAAGGUGUAUAGAUUACUGGCAUACAAGGAAGGUACUUAGUCAAGGAGGGUGUAUAGAUUACUGGCAGACAAGGAAGGUACUUAGUCAAGGAAGGUGUAUAGAUUACUGGCAGACAAGGAAGGUACUUAGUCAAGGAAGGUGUAUAGAUUACUGGCAGACAAGGAAGGUACUUAGUCAAGGAGGGUCUAUAGAUUACUGGCAGACAAGGAAGGUACUUAGUCAAGGAAGGUGUAUAGAUUACUGGCAGACAAGGAAGGUACUUAGUCAAGGAAGGUGUAUAGAUUCCGUCAGACAGA
Long non-coding RNA from Oncorhynchus keta (chum salmon), 1177 nucleotides. RefSeq lists it as uncharacterized. NCBI's taxonomy places the organism in Eukaryota, Metazoa, Chordata, Actinopteri, Salmoniformes, Salmonidae. The record is from RefSeq and is a predicted model, not a curated record. The transcript has 3 exons.